GUGGGGAAUAUUGGACAAUGGGCGAAAGCCUGAUCCAGCCAUGCCGCGUGUGUGAAGAAGGUCUUCGGAUUGUAAAGCACUUUAAGUUGGGAGGAAGGGCAGUAAGUUAAUACCUUGCUGUUUUGACGUUACCGACAGAAUAAGCACCGGCUAACUUCGUGCCAGCAGCCGCGGUAAUACGAAGGGUGCAAGCGUUAAUCGGAAUUACUGGGCGUAAAGCGCGCGUAGGGGGGUUUGUAAGUUGGAGGUGAAAUCCCCGGGCUCAACCGGGGAACUGCCUCCAAAACUGCAUGACUAGAGUACGGUAGAGGGUAGUGGAAUUUCCUGUGUAGCGGUGAAAUGCGUAGAUAUAGGAAGGAACACCAGUGGCGAAGGCGACUACCUGGACUGAUACUGACACUGAGGUGCGAAAGCGUGGGGAGCAAACAGGAUUAGAAACCCGGGUAGUCC
RNAcentral lists this ribosomal RNA (450 nucleotides) under uncultured bacterium. RNAcentral describes it as "partial 16S ribosomal RNA". It matches the Rfam family "Bacterial small subunit ribosomal RNA", at positions 354 to 796 of the family's 1533-position model. The record is from RNAcentral.